Molecule: ribosomal RNA, 468 nt
Filed under: uncultured bacterium
Lineage: Bacteria
Description: partial 16S ribosomal RNA
Rfam family: Bacterial small subunit ribosomal RNA
Source: RNAcentral
GACGAACGCUGGCGGCGUGCUUAACACAUGCAAGUCGAACGGAAAGGCCCUGCUUUUGUGGGGUUCUCGAGUGGCGAACGGGUGAGUAUCACGUGAGUAACCUGCCCUUUACUUUGGGAGAACUUCAGGAAACUGGGGCUAAUACCGGAUAUGAGCUCCUGCUGCAUGGGGGGUGUGGGAAAGUUUCGGCGGUUGGGGAUGGACUCGCGGCUUAUCAGCUUGUUGGUGGGGUGGUGGCUUACCAAGGCUUUGAGGGGUAGCCGGCCUGAGAGGGUGACCGGCCACAUUGGGACUGAGAUACGGCCAAGACUGCUACGGGAGGCAGCAGUGGGGAAUAUUGCACAAUGGGCGGAAGCCUGAUGCAGCAACGCCGCGUGCGGGAUGACGGCCUUCGGGUUGUAAACCGCUUGCGCCUGUGACGAAGAGUGAGUGACGGUAAUGGGUAAAGAAGCAACGGCUAACUACGUG